Molecule: transfer RNA, 74 nt
Filed under: Proteiniphilum sp.
Lineage: Bacteria; Pseudomonadati; Bacteroidota; Bacteroidia; Bacteroidales; Dysgonomonadaceae
Also listed under: 2 other names
Description: tRNA-Ile
Rfam family: tRNA
About the family: Transfer RNA (tRNA) molecules are approximately 80 nucleotides in length. Their secondary structure includes four short double-helical elements and three loops (D, anti-codon, and T loops).
Source: RNAcentral
GGUCCCAUAGCUCAGUCGGUUAGAGCACCUGACUCAUAAUCAGGGAGUCCUUGGUUCAAGCCCAAGUGGGACCA